This 104-nucleotide ribosomal RNA is filed under the name uncultured bacterium. RNAcentral's name for it is "partial 16S ribosomal RNA". It matches the Rfam family "Bacterial small subunit ribosomal RNA", at positions 1379 to 1482 of the family's 1533-position model. The record is from RNAcentral.
CCUUGUACACACCGCCCGUCACACCAUGGGAGUGGGUUGUACCAGAAGACGUUAGCUUAACCGCAAGGGGGGCGACGUCCACGGUAUGAUUCAUGACUGGGGUG